CCUACGGGAGGCAGCAGUGGGGGAUAUUGCACAAUGGGGGAAACCCUGAUGCAGCGACGCCGCGUGGGGGAAGAAGUAUUUCGGUAUGUAAAGCCCUAUUAGUCGGGAAGAAGAAAUGACGGUACCUCAGUGAGAAGCACCGGCUAAAUACGGGCCAUCAGCCGCGGUAAUCCGUAUGGUGCCAGCAUUAUCCGGAUUUACUGGGUGUAAAGGUAGCGCAGGCGGCACGGCAAGCCUGAUGUGAAAGCCCGCGGCUCAACCGCGGGACUGCAGUGGAAACUAGCGGGCUGGAGUGCCGGAGAGGUAGGCGGAAUUCCUGGUGUAGCGGUGAAAUGCGUAGAUAUUAGGGGGAACACCAGUGGCGAAGGCGGCCUACUGGACGGUGACUGACGCUGAGGCUCGAAAGCGUGGGGAGCAAACAGGAUUAGAUACCCGGGUAGUC
Molecule: ribosomal RNA, 442 nt
Filed under: uncultured bacterium
Lineage: Bacteria
Description: partial 16S ribosomal RNA
Rfam family: Bacterial small subunit ribosomal RNA
Source: RNAcentral